Molecule: ribosomal RNA, 440 nt
Filed under: uncultured bacterium
Lineage: Bacteria
Description: partial 16S ribosomal RNA
Rfam family: Bacterial small subunit ribosomal RNA
Source: RNAcentral
CCUACGGGCGGCUGCAGUAGGGAAUAUUGCUCAAUGGGGGAAACCCUGAAGCAGCAACGCCGCGUGUAGGAUGACGGUUUUCGGAUUUUAAACUUCUUGUGCUAGAGAUGAUAAUGACGGUAUCUAACGAAUAAGCACCGGCUAACUCCGUGCCAGCAGCCGCGGUAAUACGGAGGGUGAAGGCGUUACUCGGAAUCACUGGGCUUAAAGGGCGCGUAGGCGGGAUAGCAAGUCAGAUGUGAAAUCCUACGGCUUAAACAUAGAACUGCAUUUGAAACUGUUAUUCUAGAGUAUGGGAGAGGGAGGUGGAAUUCUUGGUGUAGGGGUAAAAUCCGUAGAGAUCAAGAGGAAUACUCAUUGCGAAGGCGGCCUGCUAGAACAUAACUGACGCUGAUGCGCGAAAGCGUGGGGAGCAAACAGGAUUAGAUACCCGUGUAGUC